AUUGAACGCUGGCGGAAUGCUUUACACAUGCAAGUCGAACGGCAGCACGGGGGCAGCCCUGGUGGCGAGUGGCGAACGGGUGAGUAAUACAUCGGAACGUGCCCGGUCGUGGGGGAUAACGUAGCGAAAGUUACGCUAAUACCGCAUACGAUCUGAGGAUGAAAGCGGGGGACCUUCGGGCCUCGCGCGAUCGGAGCAGCCGAUGUCAGAUUAGGUAGUUGGUGGGGUAAAGGCCUACCAAGCCGACGAUCUGUAGCUGGUCUGAGAGGACGACCAGCCACACUGGGACUGAGACACGGCCCAGACUCCUACGGGAGGCAGCAGUGGGGAAUUUUGGACAAUGGGCGCAAGCCUGAUCCAGCCAUUCCGCGUGCAGGACGAAGGCCUUCGGGUUGUAAACUGCUUUUGUACGGAACGAAAAGGCUCUGGCUAAUACCUGGGGCUCAUGACGGUACCGUAAGAAUAAGCACCGGCUAACUACGUG
This 484-nucleotide ribosomal RNA is filed under the name uncultured bacterium. RNAcentral's name for it is "partial 16S ribosomal RNA". It matches the Rfam family "Bacterial small subunit ribosomal RNA", at positions 30 to 507 of the family's 1533-position model. The record is from RNAcentral.